UACGGAGGAUCCAAGCGUUAUCCGGAUUUAUUGGGUUUAAAGGGUGCGUAGGCGGAUUGAUAAGUUAGAGGUGAAAUGUCCGAGCUCAACUCGGGAACUGCCUCUAAUACUGUUGAUCUAGAGAGUAGAUGCGGUAGGCGGAAUGUAUGGUGUAGCGGUGAAAUGCUUAGAGAUCAUACAGAACACCGAUUGCGAAGGCAGCUUACCAAUCUAUAUCUGACGCUGAGGCACGAAAGCGUGGGGAGCAAACAGG
RNAcentral lists this ribosomal RNA (253 nucleotides) under uncultured bacterium. RNAcentral's name for it is "partial 16S ribosomal RNA". It matches the Rfam family "Bacterial small subunit ribosomal RNA", at positions 524 to 776 of the family's 1533-position model. The record is from RNAcentral.